UCGACCCAAAUCUAGUAUUUCACCAGAGAGCCUAACGCUGCUGGCUUUCCAACUGUGUGGAAGACGAUACAGGCGUAACAAAGACAAGGAUGAAAUAAGUCCUGUGAUGGAGAGACAAGCAAAAUUCUACCUGACUUCACAGGAGGAAGAAGUGUGCUGUGCCAGGGGGAACAGGAGAAAGCUUCAUGGAAGAGGUCACAGGAAAUGGGUAGCUAUCCAGCUAAAUAGAUUUCAUGCUUGACUUCAGUGGAAUAGCUCAAAUGAUGAUCUGUUUGGGAGAGUAAAUUAAAGAGUUUCCAUCCGAGGUUGGUUGAAUCCACAGAUACGGAACCCACAGAUAUAGAG
Molecule: long non-coding RNA, 345 nt
Filed under: Homo sapiens (human)
Lineage: Eukaryota; Metazoa; Chordata; Mammalia; Primates; Hominidae
Description: non-protein coding LINC01121:8
Source: RNAcentral